This 362-nucleotide unclassified non-coding RNA is filed under the name Hevea brasiliensis (rubber tree). Lineage: Eukaryota; Viridiplantae; Streptophyta; Magnoliopsida; Malpighiales; Euphorbiaceae. The record is from RNAcentral.
AGAAAAGCAGUUUUGAGCCUCCAAAAUCAAUGCCUGAGGUUUCUCUUUAUUCCCUGUGUCAUUUCCAGCAAGCACCGAGCAAUUCUUUCCUAUAUUCUACAUUCCAAAAUCUUAUCAUCAAAACCCUAAACAUCCUUUCCCUAGCAACCUCCAAUCAUCGCAUUCUAUUUUUGAAAAACCAAUAGUUUUUUUCUUAGUUUGCUUGCUGGUCACAAUUUCCUGCACCCUUUUUUCUCCAAUCUAGCCAGCUGCUUUUUGAACUCAAACAUCAAAUGAUUCAGUUCAAAGUCAAAUUCACACUUAACCGCUAAAAGUAAAGCCUAAAACUUAUCUUUAUCAGUGUCUUCAGAACUUAAUUACUG